This 493-nucleotide ribosomal RNA is filed under the name uncultured bacterium. Its description in RNAcentral is "partial 16S ribosomal RNA". It matches the Rfam family "Bacterial small subunit ribosomal RNA", at positions 29 to 523 of the family's 1533-position model. The record is from RNAcentral.
AUUGAACGCUGGCGGCAUGCUUUACACAUGCAAGUCGAACGGUAACAGGUUAAGCUGACGAGUGGCGAACGGGUGAGUAAUGCAUCGGAACGUGCCCGGUCGGGGGGGAUAACGCAGCGAAAGCUGCGCUAAUACCGCAUACGAUCUGAGGAUGAAAGCGGGGGACCGUAAGGCCUCGCGCGAUCGGAGCGGCCGAUGUCAGAUUAGGUAGUUGGUGAGGUAAAGGCUCACCAAGCCAACGAUCUGUAGCUGGUCUGAGAGGACGACCAGCCACACUGGGACUGAGACACGGCCCAGACUCCUACGGGAGGCAGCAGUGGGGAAUUUUGGACAAUGGGCGAAAGCCUGAUCCAGCAAUGCCGCGUGCAGGAAGAAGGCCUUCGGGCUGUAAACUGCUUUUGUACGGAGCGAAAAGGCUCUCUCUAAUACAGGGGGCUCAUGACGGUACCGUAAGAAUAAGCACCGGCUAACUACGUGCCAGCAGCCGCCGCAG